GACGAACGCUGGCGGCGUGCUUAACACAUGCAAGUGGAGCGACGAACCGGGGCUUGCCCCGGGGCGGAGCCGCGAACGGGUGAGUAACACGUGGGUAACCCAUCCCGAUGACCGGGACAACCCGAGGAAACUCGGGCUAAUACCGGAUGUGCCGGCUUAUCACCAGAUAAGUCAGUAAAGAUAGCUUCGGCCUUCGCAUCGGGACGGGCCCGCGGCCCAUUAGCUUGUUAGUGGGGUAACGGCCUACCAAGGCGACGAUGGGUAGCUGGUCUGAGAGGACGAUCAGCCACACUGGGACUGAGACACGGCCCAGACUCCUACGGGAGGCAGCAGUGGGGAAUCUUGCACAAUGCGCGAAAGCGUGAUGCAGCAACGCCGCGUGGGGGAAGACGGGCCUUCGGGUUGUAAACCCCUUUCAGUUGGGACGAAGCUUUGCUCGUUAAUAGCGGGUU
Molecule: ribosomal RNA, 452 nt
Filed under: uncultured bacterium
Lineage: Bacteria
Description: bacterial SSU rRNA
Rfam family: Bacterial small subunit ribosomal RNA
Source: RNAcentral